AUUGAACGCUGGCGGCAUGCUUUACACAUGCAAGUCGAACGGCAGCGCGGGCUUCGGCCUGGCGGCGAGUGGCGAACGGGUGAGUAAUGCAUCGGAACGUGCCCAGUAGUUGGGGCUAGCGCGGCGACAGCCGGAUUAAUACCGCAUACGACCUGAGGGUGUAAGCGGGGGACCGGAAGGCCUCGCGCCAUUGGAGCGGCCGAUGUCGGAUUAGCUAGUUGGUGGGGUAAAGGCUUACCAAGGCGACGAUCCGUAGCUGGUCUGAGAGGACGACCAGCCACACUGGAACUGAGACACGGCCCAGACUCCUACGGGAGGCAGCAGUGGGGAAUUUUGGACAAUGGGGGCAAGCCUGAUCCAGCCAUGCCGCGUGCGUGAAGAAGGCCUUCGGGUUGUAAACCGCUUUUGUUCGGGAAGAAAUCCUGUGGGUUAAUACCCCGGGGGGAUGACGGUACCGGAAGAAUAAGCACCGGCUAACUACGUG
RNAcentral lists this ribosomal RNA (484 nucleotides) under uncultured bacterium. Its description in RNAcentral is "partial 16S ribosomal RNA". It matches the Rfam family "Bacterial small subunit ribosomal RNA", at positions 28 to 507 of the family's 1533-position model. The record is from RNAcentral.